AGAGUUUGAUCCUGGCUCAGAACGAACGCUGGCGGCAUGCCUAACACAUGCAAGUCGAACGAGACCUUCGGGUCUAGUGGCGCACGGGUGCGUAACGCGUGGGAAUCUGCCCUUGGGUGCGGAAUAACUUCCCGAAAGGGAUGCUAAUACCGCAUAAUGUCGCAAGACCAAAGAUUUAUCGCCCAAGGAUGAGCCCGCGUAAGAUUAGCUAGUUGGUGGGGUAAAAGCCUACCAAGGCGACGAUCUUUAGCUGGUCUGAGAGGAUGAUCAGCCACACUGGGACUGAGACACGGCCCAGACUCCUACGGGAGGCAGCAGUGGGGAAUAUUGGACAAUGGGCGAAAGCCUGAUCCAGCAAUGCCGCGUGAGUGAUGAAGGCCCUAGGGUUGUAAAGCUCUUUUACCCGGGAUGAUAAUGACAGUACCGGGAGAAUAAGCUCCGGCUAACUCCGUGCCAGCAGCCGCGGUAAUACGGAGGGAGCUAGCGUUGUUCGGAAUUACUGGGCGUAAAGCGCGCGUAGGCGGUUUUUUAAGUCAGAGGUGAAAGCCCGGGGCUCAACCCCGGAAUUGCCUUUGAAACUGGAAAACUUGAAUCUUGGAGAGGUCAGUGGAAUUCCGAGUGUAGAGGUGAAAUUCGUAGAUAUUCGGAAGAACACCAGUGGCGAAGGCGACUGACUGGACAAGUAUUGACGCUGAGGUGCGAAAGCGUG
This 709-nucleotide ribosomal RNA is filed under the name uncultured bacterium. RNAcentral describes it as "bacterial SSU rRNA". It matches the Rfam family "Bacterial small subunit ribosomal RNA", at positions 8 to 763 of the family's 1533-position model. The record is from RNAcentral.